ACAUUAACGAGAGUAACUUCAUGCUGAUGUUGUAAGUAUCACUCAGUUGAGAUUCUACUUCAUUCUCCGUCGCAACAAUCUCAAUGGCGUUUCUUCUCAAACCCUCACUUCACAACCGCCACUUCACCGCCGCCAAACACCUCUCUCCCACCCUCACCCACCUCUUCUCCACCACCUCCUCACCUCCCACACAAAACGACGCCGAAUUAAUCUCCAAACUCCUCCUCCAACACUACAACCCUUACCACUCAAUGGAAUCCCCACUCCAACUCCAAAGCAUAACCCUAACCCCAACCCUCUUAACCGAAACCCUAACCCACCUCAAACACCACUCCAAAAUCGCACUCUCUCUCUUCAAUUUCUCCAAAUCCCUCCCAAACCCACCUCUCUCACAUUCCUCUUACAAUCUCCUUAUCGAUAUCGUCUCCAAAGUUCACCAAUUCGACCUCGCUUGGCAAUUAAUUAUCGAAAUGGACCAAAAUAACCUCACCCCAGACCCAACCACUUUCUUCAUCAUCAUCAAACGCCUCAUCGCCGCUAACCUAACUCGCCAAGCGAUUCGCGCUUUCGAAGAAAUUGAAUCCUACACAAACACCAAAUUAACCUCACAACAUUUCACUUUCUUGCUCGACACGCUUUGUAAGUAUGGCCACGUUAAAAUUGCCUGCGAAUUGUUUAACAAAAAUCAAAAUAGGUUUAGCCCCGACGCGAAAAUGUAUACUAUUUUGAUAUAUGGAUGGUGUAAAAUUAGUAGAUUUAAGACGGCAUUGUCGUUUUUAAAUGAGAUGAAGGUGAAGGGGAUUGAGGCGAAUGUUGUUACUUAUAAUGUUUACUUGAAUGGAAUUUGUAGAAAGGCGAGUUUGCAUCCGGAGGAGAGGUUUGAGAGAACGAUAAGGGAUGCGGAGAAGGUGUUCGAUGAAAUGCGCGAGAGUGGAAUUGAACCGGAUGUGACUAGUUUUUCGAUUGUUCUUCAUGUUUAUAGUCGGGCACAUAAGCCGCAGUUGGUUUUGGAUAAGUUGAGUUUGAUGAAGGAGAAAGGGAUUUGUCCGAAUGUUGUGACUUAUACUUCGGUUAUUAAGUGUCUUUGUUCAUGUGGGAGGAUUGAGGAGGCUGAGGAUUUGCUUGAUGAGAUGGUGAGAAAUGGAGUGAGUCCUUGUGCUAAGACGUAUAAUUGUUUCUUUAAGGAGUAUAGAGGGAGGAAGGAGACUGAUAAGGCUUUGAAGUUUUUUAAGAAGAUGAAGGAUGAUGGGUUGUGCGAGCCGACGACGCAUACGUAUGGUGUUUUGAUUGCCAUGUUUUUGAAGGCGGAUAUGAUUGGAGUUGUUAAGGAGAUUUGGAAGGAUAUGAUGGAGCGUGGGGUUGGACCGGAUUUGGAUUCGUAUACGGUUUUGAUACAUGGGUUGUGUGAGAGGAAGAAGUGGAGGGAGGCUUGCGGUUAUUUUGUUGAGAUGAUUGAGAAGGGGUUUCUUCCUCAGAAAGUUACCUUUGAGACGCUUUAUAGGGGUCUCAUUCAGGCUGAUAUGUUGAGGACUUGGAGGAGGUUGAAGAAGAAGCUUGAUGAAGAGUCCAUUACAUUUGGUUCAGAGUUUCAAAAUUAUCAUUUAAAGCCUUAUAGGAGAUGAGCUGCUAGUGUUUCACUCACAUGAAGAGGAUGGAUGAUGGGUGGUUAGCUGGUGUUUCUUAUUGUAAGAAUUUGAAGACUUUAAGGUUGGUGUCUUGUAAGGUUAUUGAUGGUAAUCCUGGAUUGGAGGAACAUUUGGGGUUUUGUAUUGCACUUGAAAGGUUGCAUUUUCAGAAAUGUUAGUUAAGGGAUAAGAAUGCAAUGGGAGCUUCUUUUUUGGUUUGUAGGGCUGCUAGGGAUGUUGUUCUUCAGGAUUGUUGGGGGUUGGAUGACUGCAUUUUCAGUUUGGCUGUUGUGUGCAGGCGGGUAAAAUUGUUCGACUUAGAAGGACGCUCAUUGCUUACAACCGACAGUUUAGAAUCUGUAAUCGAAUCCUGGAAGGAACUUGAGUGCCUUAGAGUUGUCUCUUGUAAAAAUAUAAAGGAUAGUGAUAUCUCUCCUGCGCUUGCAACGUUAUUUACCACUCAAGGAAUUGAAAUGGAGGCCAGAUACAAAACAUCUUCUGCCAUCAAGUCUUGCGGAGGUAAACAUGGGAAAAAAAGGCAAGAAGUUUUUCAAGUAGACAUGAUGCUUGAACUUGCUAUAUACUGUCAGAAUCUAGAAACAGAUACUCACUUGACACAGUGAAACUUGUACCAUUAUGUAAUCAUCAUGUAGUUAUAAUUUAGAUGGUUAAUUAGAUAUUGACAGUGGAAGAUUAUUGGAAAUGAAUUUGAAGCAAUCAGCAGUCACUUGGUACUGAUAUUGACCAUUGAUGAAGAUCAAACGGUUCGAAUUCAGAGUGUCAUAAUUUGACUAAAGAUACAAUGCGAGUCAUCCGAACUCUGUCUGACUGACUACAAAGGCUGCGAGAAUUGUUGACAACAGUAAAUCCAGCGAGAUUAUAUGCAUCCUUUGCGUAGAGAUGUAAUCCCUCAAGAUUAUUUGUUAUUCACCUAGAGAUGUAAUUAUGUUUACCUUAAUUCAGUUCACCCCAUGUUGAAAAUGGAUAACUUUUAGUCCCAAUAUUUUUUUAUUGUUCUUUGAUGUCUACCAUUGAAAUAAGGGACUAAAUAAGAGAUGUAAUUUAUGUGUAAGCAUAACCCAUUUCAGUAGGGUACCUUUGUUAUUCAACACUUUCUUGUUGCUACUGCAGCAGUGAUUUUUACGUUUUUUUUUCUUCUUAU
This is an RNA transcript of Cicer arietinum (chickpea), 2787 nucleotides long. It is a transcript of the gene named pentatricopeptide repeat-containing protein At2g13420, mitochondrial-like, with no coding region annotated. The record is from RefSeq and is a predicted model, not a curated record. Lineage: Eukaryota; Viridiplantae; Streptophyta; Magnoliopsida; Fabales; Fabaceae.